Molecule: ribosomal RNA, 249 nt
Filed under: uncultured bacterium
Lineage: Bacteria
Description: partial 16S ribosomal RNA
Rfam family: Bacterial small subunit ribosomal RNA
Source: RNAcentral
UACGUAGGGUGCAAGCGUUGUCCGGAAUUAUUGGGCGUAAAGAGCUCGUAGGCGGUUCGUCGCGUCGGCUGUUGAAAACCUGAGGCUCAACCUCAGGCCUGCAGUCGAUACGGGCGGACUUGAGUACUUGCAGGGGAGACUGGAAUUCCUGGUGUAGCGGUGAAAUGCGCAGAUAUCAGGAGGAACACCGGUGGCGAAGGCGGGUCUCUGGGCAGUAACUGACGCUGGAGGAGCGAAAGCGUGGGGGAG